CAUCUCUGGGUCUGCCAUGAGCACGCCCGGCCCCUUGCGCUUCACGUCCUUGGUCUUAGCCUUCUUGUCUUCUGGGUCAGCUUCGGGAAGCUCGAGGAGGAAGAGGCGCCCCUCGUCAGCCCUUGCACACUUGUUGGCCAUGUUGAACAUCUCCAGGGCUGUGCAGAGAUCCUCAUGGAUGGCGAACUCCUCCUUCAUCUUGACAUCACAGAUGCCAUCAGUGAACGCUGAGAUGAUGGGCUCGUCCAACACCUUGAGGUUCUUGAGGCGAACGUUGUUGAAGUGUGGAUAUACUUAUGCAGGGUGUCUCCAGGUUUCUGUUGGAAAUAUGCCCUAGAGGCAAUAAUAAAAGCAUUAUUAUUAUAUUUCCUUGUUCAUGAUAAUUGUCUUUAUUCAUGCUAUAAUUGUGUUAUCCGGAAAUCGUAAUACAUGUGUGAAUAACAGACAUCAACAUGUCCCUAGUGAGCCUCUAGUUGACUAGCUCGUUGAUCAACAAAUAGUCAUGGUUUCCUGACUAUGGACACUGGAUGUCAUUGAUAACGAGAUCACAUCAUUAGGAGAAUGAUGUGAUGGACAAGACCCAAUCCUAAACAUAGCACAAGAUCGUAUAGUUCGUUUGCUAGAGUUUUCCAAUGUCAAAGUAUCUUUUCCUUAGACCAUGAGAUCGUGUAACUCCCGGAUACCGUAGGAGUGCUUUGGGUAUGCCAAACGUCACAACGUAACUGGGUGACUAUAAAGGUAGACUACGGGUAUCUCCGAAAGUGUCUGUUGGGUGACAUGGAUCAAGACUGGGAUUUGUCACUCCGUAUGACGGAGAGGUAUCACUGGGCCCACUCGGUAAUGCAUCAUCAUAAUGAGCUCAGAGUGACCAAGUGUCUGGUCACGGGAUCAUGCAUUACGGUACGAGUAAAGUGACUUGCUGGUAACGAGAUUGAACGAGGUAUUGGGAUACCGACGAUCGAAUCUCGGGCAAGUAACAUAUCGAUAGACAAAGGGAAUAGCGUACGGGGUUGAUUUUAUCCUCGACAUCGUGGUUCAUCCGAUGAGAUCAUCGUGGAGCAUGUGGGAGCCAACAUGGGUAUCCAGAUCCCGCUGUUGGUUAUUGACCGGAGAGUCGUCUCGGUCAUGUCUGCUUGUCUCCCGAACCCGUAGGGUCUACACACUUAAGGUUCGGUUACGCUAGGGUUGUAGGGAUAUGUAUAUGCAGUAACCCGAAUGUUGUUCGGAGUCCCGGAUGAGAUCCCGGACGUCACGAGGAGUUCCGGAAUGGUCCGGAGGUAAAGAUUUAUAUAUGGGAAGUCCUGUUUCGGGCAUCGGGACAAGUUUCGGGGUUAUCGGUAUUGUACCGGGACCACCGGAAGGGUCCCGGGGGUCCACCGGGUGGGUCCACCUGUCCCGGGGGGGCACAUGGGCUGUAGGGGGUGCGCCUUGGCCUAAUGGGCCAAGGGCACCAGCCCCACAUAGGCCCAUGUGCCUAGGGUUUAAGGGGGAAAGAGUCCUAGGAGGGGAAGGCACCUCCUAGGUGCCUUGGGGGGGAGGGAAACCCCCCUUGGCCGCCGCACCCCCUAGGAGAUUGGAUCUCCUAGGGCCGGCCACCCCCCCUUGGCCCUCCUAUAUAUAGUGGGGGAGAGGAGGGACUUUAUACCUGAACGCCUUGGCCUUUGGUUGCCUCCUUCUCCCUCCCCAACACCUCCUCCACCUUCAUAGUGCUUAGCGAAGCUCUGCCGGAGUACUGCAGCUCCAUCAACACCACGCCGUCGUGCUGCUGCUGGUGCCAUCUCCCUCAACCUCUCCUCCCUCCCUUGCUGGAUCAAGAAGGAGGAGACGUGGCUGUUCCGUACGUGUGUUGAACGCGGAGGUGCCGUCCGUUCGGCGCUGGUCAUCGGUGAUUUGGAUCACGUCGAGUACGACUACAUCAUCACCGUUCUUUUGAACGCUUCCGCUCGCGAUCUCCAAAGGUAUGUAGAUGCAUCUAAUCACUCGUUGCUAGAUGAACUCCUAGAUGAUCUUGGUGAAACGAGUAGGAAAAUUUUUGUUUUCUGCAACGUUACCCAACAGGUGGCAUCAUGAGCUAGGUCUAUGCGUAGUUAUUCUUGCGCGAGUAGAACACAAUUUGUUGUGGGCGUAGAUUUGUCAACUCUCUUGCCCUUACUAGUCCUUUCUUGCUUCAGCGGUAUUGUGGGAUGAAGCGGCCCGGACCAACCUUACACGUACGCUUACGUGAGACCGGUUCCACCGACUAACAUGCACUAGUUGCAUAAGGUGGCUGGCGGGUGUCUGUCUCUCCUACUUUAGUUGGAGCGGAAUCGAUGAACAGGGUCCUUAUGAAGGGUAAAUAGAAGUUGACAAAUCACGUUGUGGCUUUAACGUAGGUAAGAAAACGUUCUUGCUAGAACCCUAAUUCAGCCACGUAAAAACUUGCAACAACAAUUAGAGGACGUCUAACUUGUUUUUGCAGCAAGUGGUUUGUGAUAUGAUAUGGCCAAAGUUGUGAUGAAUGAUGAAUGAUCUAUAUGUGAUGUAUGAGAUGUUCAUGCUAUUGUAAUAGGAAUCAUGACUUGCAUGUCGAUGAGUAUGACAACCGGCAGGAGCCAUAGGAGUUGUCUUUAUUCUUUUAUAUGACCUGCGUGUCAUCAAGAAACGCCAUGUAAAUUACUUUACUUUAUUGCUAAACGCGUUAGCCAUAGUAGUAGAAGUAAUAGUUGGCGAGCAACUUCAUGGAGACACGAUGAUGGAGAUCAUGAUGAUGGAGAUCAUGGUGUCAAGCCGGUGACAAGAUGAUCAUGGAGCCCCAAGAUGGAGAUCAAAGGAGCUAUGUGAUAUUGGCCAUAUCAUGUCACGUUUAUUAUUUGAUUGCAUGUGAUGUUUAUCAUGUUUUGCAUAUUGUUUACUUAGAACGACGGUAGUAAAUAAGAUGAUCCCUCACAAUAAAUUCAAGAAGUGUUCCCCCUAACUGUGCACCGUUGCGACAGUUCGCUGUUUCAAAACACCACGUGAUGAUCGGGUGUUUUAUUCAGACGUUCACAUACAACGGGUGUAAGACAGAUUUACACAUGCAAACACUUAGGUUGACUUGACGAGCCUAGCAUGUACAGACAUGGCCUCGGAACACAGAAGACCGAAAGGUCGAGCAUGAGUCGUAUAGAAGAUACGAUCAACAUGAAGAUGUUCACCGAUGUUGACUAGUCCGUCUCACGUGAUGAUCGGACACGGUCUAGUUUAACUCGGAUCAUGUAAUACUUAGAUGACUAGAGGGAUGUCUAAUCUAAGUGGGAGUUCACUAAUAAUUUGAUUAGUUGAACUUAAUUAUCAUGAACUUAGUCUAAAAUCUUUGCAAUAUGUCUUGUAGAUCAAAUGGCCAACGUAGUCCUCAACUUCAACGUGUUCCUAGAGAAAACUAAGCUGAAAGACGAUGGCAGCAACUAUACGGACUGGGUCCGGAACCUGAGGAUCAUCCUCAUAGCUGCCAAGAAAGAUUAUGUCCUACAAGCACCGCUUGGUGACGCACCCGUUCUCCCUGCGGAACAAGACGUUAUGAACGCUUGGCAGGCACGUUCCGAUGACUACUCCCUCGUUCAGUGCGGCAUGCUUUACAGCCUAGAGCCGGGGCUCCAAAAGCGUUUUGAGAGACAUGGAGCAUAUGAGAUGUUCGAAGAGCUGAAAAUGGUUUUCCAAGCUCAUGCCCGGGUCGAGAGAUAUGAAGUCUCCGACAAAUUCUUCAGCUGUAAGAUGGAGGAAAACAGUUCUGUCAGUGAGCACAUACUCACUAUGUCUGGGUUGCAUAACCGCUUGACUCAGCUGGGAGUUAAUCUCCCGGAUGAUGCGAUCAUUGACAGAAUCCUCCAGUCGCUUCCACCAAGCUACAAGAGCUUUGUGAUGAACUUCAAUAUGCAGGGGAUGAAAAAGACCAUUCCUGAAGUAUUUUCUAUGCUGAAAUCAGCAGAGGUAGAAGUCAGGAAGGAACAUCAAGUGUUGAUGGUCAAUAAAACCACUAAGUUCAAGAAAGGCAAGGGUAAAAAGAACUUCAAGAAGGACGGCAAGGAGGUUGCCGCGCCCGGCAAGCUAGCUGCCGGGAAGAAGCCAAAGAAUGGACCCAAGCCUGAGACUGAGUGCUUUUAUUGCAAGGAAAGCGGUCACUGAAAGCGGAACUGCCCUAAGUACUUAGCGGAUAAGAAGGCCGGCAAAACAAAAGGUAUAUGUGAUAUACAUGUAAUUGAUGUGUACCUUACUAGUGCCCGUAGUGGCUCCUGGGUAUUUGAUACCGGUGCAGUUGCUCACAUUUGUAACUCAAAGCAGGGGCUGCGGAAUAAGCGGAAACUGGCAAAGGACGAGGUGACGAUGCGCGUCGGGAAUGGUUCCAAGGUCAAUGUGAUCGCCGUCGGCACGCUACCUCUGCAUCUCCCUUCAGGAUUAGUUUUAAACCUUAAUAAUUGUUAUUUAGUGCCAGCUUUGAGCAUGAACAUUGUAUCAGGAUCUCGUUUAAUUCGAGAUGGCUACUCUUUUAAAUCUGAGAAUAAUGGUUGUUCUAUUUUUAUGAGAGAUAUGUUUUAUGGUCAUGCUCCUAUGGUGAAUGGUUUAUUCUUUAUGAAUCUCGAACGUGAUGCUACACAUGUUCAUAAUGUGAGUACCAAAAGAAGUAAGGUUGAUAAUGAUAGUCCCACAUACUUGUGGCACUGCCGCCUUGGUCACAUAGGUGUCAAACGCAUGAAGAAGCUCCAUGCUGAUGGACUUUUAGAGUCUCUUGAUUAUGUAUCAUUUGACACGUGCGAACCAUGCCUUAUGGGUAAAAUGACCAAGACUCCGUUCUCAGGAACAAUGGAGCGAGCAACCGACUUAUUGGAAAUCAUACAUACUGAUGUGUGCGGUCCGAUGAGUGUUGAGGCUCGCGGUGGCUAUCGUUAUGUUCUCACUCUCACUGAUGAUUUAAGUAGGUAUGGGUAUAUCUACUUAAUGAAACACAAGUCUGAAACCUUUGAAAAGUUCAAGGAAUUUUAGAGUGAGGUUGAAAAUCAACGUGACAGGAAAAUCAAGUUUCUGCGAUCAGAUCGUGGAGGAGAAUACUUGAGUCACGAGUUUGGGGCACACUUAAGAAAAUGUGGAAUAGUUUCACAACUCACGCCGCCUGGAACACCUCAGCGUAAUGGUGUGUCCGAACGUCGUAAUCGCACUCUGUUAGAUAUGGUGCGAUCUAUGAUGUCUCUUACCGAUUUACCGCUUUCUUUUUGGGGCUAUGCUUUAGAGACUGCCGCAUUCACUUUAAAUAGGGCUCCGUCGAAAUCCGUUGAGACGACACCGUAUGAAUUAUGGUUUGGGAAGAAACCUAAGCUGUCGUUUCUAAAAGUUUGGGGAUGCGAUGCUUAUGUCAAGAAACUUCAACCUGAAAAGCUCGAACCCAAGUCGGAAAAAUGCGUCUUCAUAGGAUACCCAAAAGAAACUAUUGGGUACACCUUCUACCUCAGAUCCGAAGGCAAGAUCUUUGUUGCCAAGAAUGGGUCCUUUCUGGAGAAAGAGUUUCUCUCAAAAGAAGUAAGUGGGAGGAAAAUAGAGCUUGAUGAAGUAUUACCUCUUGAACCGGAAAAUGGCGCAACUCAAGAAAAUGUUCCUGAGGUGCCAGCACCGACUAGAGAGGGAGUUAAUGAUAAUGAUCAAGAUACUUCUGAUCAAGCCCCUACUGAAAUUCGAAGGUCCACAAGGACACGUUCCGCACCAGAGUGGUACGGCAACCCUGUCUUGGAAAUCAUGUUGUUAGACAACGGUGAACCUUCGAACUAUGAAGAAGCGAUGGCGGGCCCGGAUUCCGACAAAUGGCUAGAAGCCAUGAAAUCCGAGAUAGGAUCCAUGUAUGAAAACAAAGUAUGGACUUUGACUGACUUGCCCGUUGAGCGGCGAGCCAUAGAAAAUAAAUGGAUCUUUAAGAAGAAGACAGGCGCGGAUGGUAAUGUGACCAUCUAUAAAGCUCGGCUUGUCGCUAAGGGUUAUCGACAAGUUCAAGGGGUUGACUACGAUGAGACUUUCUCACCGGUAGCGAAGCUGAAGUCCGUCCGAAUCAUGUUAGCAAUUGCCGCAUUCUAUGAUUACGAAAUAUGGCAAAUGGACGUCAAAACGGCAUUCCUUAAUGGUUUCCUUAAGGAAGAAUUGUAUAUGAUGCAGCCGGAAGGUUUUGUCGAUCCUAAGAAUGCUGACAAAGUGUGCAAGCUCCAACGCUUGAUUUAUGGGCUGGUGCAAGCAUCUCGGAGUUGGAACAUUCGCUUUGAUGAGAUGAUCAAAGCGUUUGGGUUUACACAGACUUAUGGAGAAGCCUGCGUUUACAAGAAAGUGAGUGGGAGCUCUGUAGCAUUUCUCAUAUUAUAUGUAGAUGACAUACUUUUGAUGGGAAAUGAUAUAGAACUCUUGGACAGCAUCAAGGCCUACUUGAAUAAAAGUUUUUCAAUGAAGGACCUUGGAGAAGCUGCUUAUAUAUUAGGCAUCAAAAUCUAUAGAGAUAGAUCGAGAUGCCUCAUAGGUCUUUCACAAAGCACAUACCUUGAUAAGAUAUUGAAGAAGUUCAACAUGGAUCAAUCCAAGAAGGGGUUCUUGCCUGUGUUGCAAGGUAUGAAAUUGAGCUCAGCUCAAUGUCCGACCACGGCAGAAGAUAUAGAAGAGAUGAGCGUCAUCCCCUAUGCCUCAGCCAUAGGUUCUAUUAUGUAUGCCAUGCUGUGUACCAGACCUGAUGUAAACCUUGCCGUAAGUUUGGUAGGAAGGUACCAAAGUAAUCCCGGCAAGGAACACUGGACAGCGGUCAAGAAUAUCCUGAAGUACCUGAAAAGGACUAAGGAAAUGUUUCUCGUUUAUGGAGGUGACGAAGAGCUCGUCGUAAAGGGUUACGUCGACGCUAGCUUCGACACAGAUUUGGAUGACUCUAAGUCACAAACCGGAUACGUGUAUAUUUUGAAUGGUGGGGCAGUAAGCUGGUGCAGUUGCAAGCAAAGCGUCGUGGCGGGAUCUACAUGUGAAGCGGAGUACAUGGCAGCCUCGGAGGCAGCACAUGAAGCAAUAUGGGUGAAGGAGUUCAUCACCGACCUAGGAGUCAUACCCAAUGCGUCGGGGCCGAUCAAGCUCUUCUGUGACAACACUGGAGCUAUUGCACUUGCCAAGGAGCCCAGGUUUCACAAGAAGACAAGGCACAUCAAGCGUCGCUUCAACUCCAUUCGUGAAAAUGUUCAAGAUGGAGACAUAGAGAUUUGUAAAGUACAUACGGACCUGAAUGUAGCAGAUCCGUUGGCUAAACCUCUCCCUAGAGCAAAACAUGAUCAACACCAGAAUUCCAUGGGUGUUCGAUUCAUCACAAUGUAACUAGAUUAUUGACUCUAGUGCAAGUGGGAGACUGUUGGAAAUAUGCCCUAGAGGCAAUAAUAAAAGCAUUAUUAUUAUAUUUCCUUGUUCAUGAUAAUUUUCUUUAUUCAUGCUAUAAUUGUGUUAUCCGGAAAUCGUAAUACAUGUGUGAAUAACAGACAUCAACAUAUCCCUAGUGAGCCUCUAGUUGACUAGCUCGUUGAUCAACAAAUAGUCAUGGUUUCCUGACUAUGGACACUGGAUGUCAUUGAUAACGAGAUCACAUCAUUAGGAGAAUGAUGUGAUAGACAAGACCCAAUCCUAAACAUAGCACAAGAUCGUAUAGUUCGUUUGCUAGAGUUUUCCAAUGUCAAAGUAUCUUUUCCUUAGACCAUGAGAUCGUGUAACUCCCAGAUACCGUAAGAGUGCUUUGGGUAUGCCAAACGUCACAACGUAACUGGGUGACUAUAAAGGUAGACUACGGGUAUCUCCGAAAGUGUCUGUUGGGUGACAUGGAUCAAGACUGGGAUUUGUCACUCCGUAUGACGGAGAGGUAUCACUGGGCCCACUCGGUAAUGCAUCAUCAUAAUGAGCUCAGAGUGACCAAGUGUCUGGUCACGGGAUCAUGCAUUACGGUACGAGUAAAGUGACUUGCUGGUAACGAGAUUGAACGAGGUAUUGGGACACCGACGAUCGAAUCUCGGGCAAGUAACAUAUCGAUAGACAAAGGGAAUAGCGUACGGGGUUGAUUGAAUCCUCAACAUCGUGGUUCAUCCGAUGAGAUCAUCGUGGAGCAUGUGGGAGCCAACAUGGGUAUCCAGAUCCCGCCGUUGGUUAUUGACCGGAGAGUCGUCUCGGUCAUGUCUGCUUGUCUCCCGAACCCGUAGGGUCUACACACUUAAGGUUCGGUUACGCUAGGGUUGUAGGGAUAUGUAUAUGCAGUAACCCGAAUGUUGUUCGGAGUCCCGGAUGAGAUCCCGGACGUCACGAGGAGUUCCGGAAUGGUCCGGAGGUAAAGAUUUAUAUAUGGGAAGUCCUAUUUCGGGCAUCGGGACAAGUUUCGGGGUUAUCGGUAUUGUACCGGGACCACCGGAAGGGUCCCGGGGGUCCACCGGGUGGGUCCACCUGUCCCGGGAGGGCCACAUGGGCUGUAGGGGGUGCGCCUUGGCCUAAUGGGCCAAGGGCACCAGCCCCACAUAGGCCCAUGCGCCUAGGGUUUAAGGGGGAAAGAGUCCUAGGAGGGGAAGGCACCUCCUAGGUGCCUUGGGGGGAGGGAAACCCCCCUUGGCCGCCGCACCCCCUAGGAGAUUGGAUCUCCUAGGGCCGGCCACCCCCCCUUGGCCCUCCUAUAUAUAGUGGGGGAGAGGAGGGACUUUAUACCUGAACGCCUUGGCCUUUGGUUGCCUCCUUCUCCCUCCCCAACACCUCCUCCACCUCCAUAGUGCUUAGCGAAGCUCUGCCGGAGUACUGCAGCUCCAUCAACACCACGCCGUCGUGCUGCUGCUGGUGCCAUCUCCCUCAACCUCUCCUCCCUCCCUUGCUGGAUCAAGAAGGAGGAGACGUGGUUGUUCCGUACGUGUGUUGAACGCGGAGGUGCCGUCCGUUCGGCGCUGGUCAUCGGUGAUUUGGAUCACGUCGAGUACGACUACAUCAUCACCGUACCUUUGAACGCUUCCGCUCGCGAUCUACAAAGGUAUGUAGAUGCAUCUAAUCACUCGUUGCUAGAUGAACUCCUAGAUGAUCUUGGUGAAACGAGUAGGAAAAUUUUUGUUUUCUGCAACGUUACCCAACAGUUUCUACUUGAUGCAACGCAGGUCACCCGCGACAAGCGAACGGUCGCGAGUGCCCUAGAAGUUGGCGAUGAUGCGGCCGCGCAUUUCCUCCCAAGAAGAGACCGACCCCUCGGUAAGGUUCAGGAGCCAAGAACGCGCGCCUUGAGGGACAUCGGGAACCAGUUUGCCAUGAUCUUCUCGUCACUGCUAGCCGCCUCGAUGCUCAGAUCGUAGGUGCCAUUGUAGCACGGAGGCAGGUCAUGCUUGAACUUGCUCGGCCAGACAAUGUUGCGGAGCUCCGGGGUGAAUGCGUUACAUCCUGUUGUGGCCACUGGAGCCCGUCAAGGUGGUGGAACCUGGUCCUGGUGCACGCGCACCACCACCUCCUUUGGCGGUACGCGGGCCUGGUGGGGGGAUGCUGGAAGUACACGCGCUUCUCCUUGAGGUCGAUGCACCAACUAGCAUCUCACAUCCUCCCGAGCAGGCGCCGGGCGCGGCGGGUCGCGCCACGGUGCCACACGCCUUGGCUCAAUGAUGACGCCCUGGGCCGGAGGUGGUGGAGGAACCCCAUGAGCCACAUCACCCAUGGUAGGCAGCUGCUGAGGCAGUGAGCGGGCCGGAGCGGCAGAGCCCCCGGACACGCUGACGAGCUCAGCGAUCCGCUCGAGCCACUCCUCGUAGAAGUCGUCGACCGGGAGGUAGCGAAGGAGCUCCCGCGCCAUGAGCAGAGCGGCUUGCGCGUUCGCCGGGCCGUGACGUGCGUGGGAGGAUGAAGCUGCUGGAGUCAAUGAUGGAGUGGUGGUGCGCCAGUCGCGGCGCACGGAAGUGUGCAACGAAGAAGCUUGCUGCUCGUGGCCGGCAGGGUGACAGAAAAUUGAAAUGGGGAUGAUAGAAACCCCAGCACCACCUAACUCAACUAGGGUUACUAAAAUACUUUUCCAACGAACCCAAAAUGCCCUUCUAAAAUGUUCAUCAUCUUGGCAUUGGUCUAGAACCUCUCCUAAAAAUGGUGCACAUUUUUCUAGACCAUUCUAGAUUUUUGAAUUAAAUCAUAUGUUAUUUGCAUUUGGACAUUUAAAUUGUCCAAAUAAUCAUAAACUAAAAUGUUUAUUGUUUGAUAUAUUUCAAAUAGUGGGCCUGAGCAGUUUCAUGAUUUUUGAGUUAGUAUACUAAGAAUACUAGGCCCGUAAGGGUUCCAUAUUUCUGGUUUUUCUGGAUUUUUUUACCUAUGAUGUUUGAGCGACACGUUGCCUCCAUGUGUGCAGUACAUCCUACAGCGGCCAUCCUUUGUUUUCUCUUUAAUAUUUGUUUGACGGCGCGUCACAUGCAUGUCUUGGUCCAGUUCACGUGAGCUUUUCUGGUGGCCUUCUAGAUUUCCUGCGAUUGUUACAUGGGCCACGCAUGCCGCCACGUCUGCCUCACAUGUUGUUGACUGGCAGUUUACUGAUGGACACAUUGCCUUCUGGGCUUUUACCUUCUUUGUUGGGGCGACGCGUGUGCGUGAAAGUUUUCUGGGAUGUGUUCGAUUCCAUUCUUCCUUUGCUUGGACUGUUCAAGCACAUUUUGUUUAUUGCUGCAUAGGUGUGGUGGACUCUCCUGGAAGGUUUUUCCUUAAAAAAAGAGGUGUAUGGGCUGAUUUUGUCUCAUGCCAAAAGAUUAGGUUGACCACGCAUGGCUCUUCUAGACAUGUAUGGGUAGGUUUUGUUUUUAGCUCAUGCAUGCAUGCAUGUGGCCACGUUUUCCUGUUGUAUAGUUGUCUCUCUAUGUUAUGGAUGGACACGAUGUGUUCUUGGUCUUUCUGGUGGGUUUUUUUUUCAUCUCCUUUUGCUUGCCUAUAAGUAGCUCCUUGCUAUGUUGGUCCUUCAUUCAGUUUCCACGUCCUUCCCUAGAUUGGUCUUCUCAAUUCAGUUUUUGCCUCACUGCCGCAUCCAUUCUCUCUAGGCUCUAGCACCGUCUUGCCUCCGGCAAUUGGAGACGAAGCAUCUGGUCAUGGAAAGCCGCAUCAGGACGUUCGGUCCGGUGGUCAUGGCGCACCAUGAUGGUCCGCCGCCUACAGCCGACGCACCGGAGUGCACAGUAGCAAGCACCAGUUUGAGGUGAGGAUAUCGCAUUGGUCUCCUGUUGCUCACAUGCGAGGCCUCGGACGAGCGGCCAAAUCCACGUGAGGUGGAUGUUGCAGGCACGGCCAUCUCCCCUUCCUUCCUUCCUUCUUUUUCCCUCCAACUACCAUGUUAUCUUUACCAUGUCUUCUUUCCUUGUUGUAUUGUUUUUUCACCCAUGGGGAUAGAGAUGUUACCUCAGUCGGCAAUGAAGCCAGUGAUUUGUAUCCAAUAAUUUUCGUUAAUACGGUAACAACUUAUUUCAGUCCACCUGACGGAACGAGUCUCUAUCUGAUGAUGUCAGAACUUACAGAAAGUUUCUAAAAUAAAUUAUGACAUGGUAUUUUUCUUCACUCUUGAUUUGUUCCAUUUGUAUUAUCCGCUCCGCCCUAGGUUCGUCCCCAAAAUUAUAAAAUUUGGAGCCUCCCGUUGAAGGUCCAAGGAGGUGGAAGCAUGAACAAUGCCCUCAUCAAAUCAACUUAAUUGGAUUCGAAUUGAAGGAUGACUUUUGAGAAAAGGUAGUACGUAACUUCAUUUAUAUUAUGCACUUGGUAGGGAUAUUCUCAAGGAAUUGCAAGAUGAUGGGCUAUACACUUCACAUAGCCUGAGACCAUGGUGAGUACAUGGUCUUUUGACUUACUUUCUUUGUAGUUGUUUUACAAAUUGAGGAGGGGUAGCAGAUGGAUGGCAUUGCCAUGCAGAACUGAAAACACUGUUGUAUGACUACAGACUCUUCACUGGAAUAAAAACAGAUGCGUGAGAUGAUAGAUCGGGACAGACAUGCAUGCUCCAAGUUGUGAGCAGUUUUGUUUUUCAGAGAGAUGUUUAUCCUGGAAUGGAAAAAUUUCUUUUGAAUAUUUCUUAAUAUGCCAGUUAUGUGGUGUUUGGUCGGACAUGCGCAUUUGCAGCACCAUGGGGUACUCUUUGGCUGAAGUACAUAUUUUGUAUCUUCUUUGGACCUAAAUCAGACUGUUCAAGUGGUGUUUGCUCAGAACAUGCAGGUGGAGCACCAUGGGAUGCUCUUUUUCUGAGGUACAAAUUUUAUAUCUUCUUUGGUUUGCCAGAAAGCAAGAUGUUGGAAGAAAAGAAAUAUGCAUCUUAUGAACUAACCAAACAAGGCCUUAGAAUUUUAAUAUCUUAGACAUAAUAUAUGGGAAUGCGGUGUUUUAAUUUUAUGAAAGGAGUCUCAUUACUUUAGAGACAAUGAUAGAAUCUGCACUGUCAUAUAUUAUGAUGUUGCUUUUACUCUACCUGGACAGUUUUUAAGUGUAACUAUGUAUAAUUUAUGGCUAAAUCACAUCGGCAGGGAAGCACUAUCUAGGACCGUUUAGACACUACCUAGAAGAGUGUUCUGUCUACAAAGGUACAGAGUUCAGACACUAGUUAGAAGAGUGUUCUGUCUGCAAAGGUAUAGAAAGACUAAUAGUUUCAUUUCUCAUGUUGACAGUCAGCUACAAGAGUGUUUUGUCUCAUUUCUCAUUUGACAUAAUGAACUGUGAGUUUGCCAGCCAAAUGUCAUACACAAAGACAUACAGUGUUAAUAGCUGACAAGAAUAUGGACUUCCUUCAUCUGUCAUGAUGUGCGGUAUAGUUUAUUGCCGCCUGGUGGUGAUAGUCAACCCCCCUUGACACUAUCUUAUGUUAGCCCUUAUUUUCACGAUAUUUCCUUAUGCAGAGCCAAAGAAGGAAGAAAUAACAACACAACCAAAAGAAACAAAAUUAGGAUUUGAAGGACGGGAGGGCAGCACUCUAUUAAUAUUAUGAAUGAUCUGAAUUGCUGAUCAUUUUCUUUAAAUAAAAAACACUACCAACAAUUGAAGGAUUGCUUGAAUCAAAAAUACCCUUAUAAGGUUAAUUUAGUUCCUUCCAACAAAUUGUGUUCAUAAUUACCAUACAAUUUCUAUUGACUUUAAAAUAUGUGAGGAGUGAUCUAUGAAGGCAUGUUAUAUUCAACCUUAAUAUUAGUACUUAAAUAUAAUUUCUUUUCUUUAGACAUUCAUUGAAGCUAUUAUUUCCUUUCCCUUUGGGUAAGCCAAGUACGCCUGCUACAACUAGAAGAAAGUUCACUGGAUAAAAAGUUAUUCCCUCUGUAAAGAAAUGUAAAAGUGUUUAGGCAACUAAAGUAGUUAUCUAAACGCUCUUAUAUUUGUUUAUCGAGGGAGUAUAUAUUACCCAAGGAAACACAUAAAACCCAUCAGCAGAUCAACUUGCAUCAGGCACGCACUACUGCCCAGAGUCAAAACUUCUCAAAACUUAGCCUGCACUGAAUAGGAAUUGAGCUAAGGCAAAAGAUACUCACCGAUGCACCUCCUGCGGUCAGGGACAAACAGCAAAACGAGUCUACAACUCCAUGAGGAAGAUGUUCAGCCACCGUGCAUCUAGCUAGGCAGCAGGAAAGUCGCUCACGCUAGGCAGUAGGCACACAGGAUCAGACAGUGUCCUCGCACAGUCCACGGCGCUCCAUCCCCCCAUCCACCUCCAGCUCCAAAAUCACCUGCUCCCCCGCAAGUCCUGCCGCGUCGACUACCAUGCGUGGGCACCAGAUCCGGCAGAGGUCACCCUCGUGGGCUUUGCAAAUCCCACCACCUCCGCAUCAGCUGCCGAGCAGGCGGACCAGCGCGGGCUCCGUUGCUGUAGCGAUGGCCAUGGCUGACCGCCUCCUUCCGCACGAGCCAGGAUCUCCUCGAGAUUGCACGCGAGGCACGCGGUCUUGGCUUCGGUCUCUGGGAGAGCUCAGUCUUUGGCGGUCAAGAGCACGAACGAGAAGCAGGGCGCCGGCCACCGCGUGACCCGUGACUCCGGCAGAUCGGGUCACGGGCGAGCGGCUGCAGCAGCGAGCACUAGCACGCAAGAGAGAGGACAGGGGAGUCGUGAUGGUCAAUUCACUAGAGGAAAUGAUUUGGGGAAGAUGUUCUAGAUCCAUCUCGUCAUGUCUCUCUCUCAUAUUGCGAUGCGCUCAGCCUCAGAGUACAUCAGGCGCAACUAACAUACGAUCAUCACCUCAGGUGCAAUCGUGCAAUCGUGCGAUCCAACUAUGUGGACCCUUGUUCUCAAAAAAAAGUAUGUGGACCCUUGGAUGAGAAAUGAGUUGUCCAUAUUUAGCAGCUUGACCUAGAUAUGUUCUCUCAAAGAAAUUUGCGUACAUGACAUCUAGUGAAAUAUUGUUCAAUUUCCCGUCAAAAAAAUUGUUUAAUUUACAUGUGUUCAUCAAUGUAGCAACUCUUAUUUCUGAUGAAUCUGAUCUAGCAAAGGUUUUUUCUUGUUUUGCAGCAUAAUCCGUUUUAACUACCAUAAUGUGAAAUCUCUAUCGAGAACACUAUAAAGACACACAUACGCAAAACGUACAACAAUUCUGAAGAAGUCCAUAAAAGCAAAUUUCAAACAAAUCAAUGGAGCGCGGCGUGCCGCCGCGCACUACUCACUAGUUAGUAUUAUUAUUAAAGCCCUAAAGACUACAGAAUAAUAAUAAAACACAAACUAAAAUAGGAAAAACAAAGAGAGAGAGAGAGAAGAAACUUACCUGGCACCCACCAAAGCCCACCUCGCGGCCCAAGUGGCCGGCCCAGCCCACCUGGCCCCCUUCCCUAUCAUCUUCCUCCCUAGGCCAGUAGCUAGAGCGCAUGGCCGCAGCGCGCCGGCACGCGCCCCGGACACCUCCACCCUACCUACCUACGUCCCUGUCGCCCUGGAUCUCACCCGCGUCGCCACGCACCCCCCAGGCCCUCUCACUCUCUCUCGUGCCUUCCUCCACUCCUCUGGCUCCCUCUCUCUCCCAUCGAGCGGAGGUCGUCGCCGUCGCUCGCUGCUGCCGCAGCCACCAUGCUCCCCUCGUCUCCCCCGUGCUGCCCACGGGCCCCGCCUCCAUCUCCCUCUCCUCUCUGUCAACUCGCACGGUGCUGGACGCCCUGCAUCACCCUCUGCACCGCUAUCCUCGCCGCCUCUGCCCCGAGAUCAUCGGUGACCUCCCGUCGUCAUCAGCCCCUCCCCGAGCACGCCACGGCCACCCUUGCCCUCCCCGUGAGCUCCUCUGCCUCUUCCCCUCGCUCCCGUGCUCAGCUUCUCGCCGUAGCCAUCAUUUUGACGAUGACCAAAUCGCGCCGCCGCCGGAGCGCCUCACCGCCAUGGCCACGGUCACCGUAGCCUCCAAACAAGCUCACCCACGUGCUCGUCGUGUCGCGUAGGUGCCGUGGGAGCCAAGAACGCAACGCCAUGGCCACCAUAGCCUCAUCCCCGAGCUCGGCCGAACUCCGGCUGGCGCUGCUGUUGCCACCGAUGUCGUCUUAGACCACCCCAGCCCAAGCUAACCCCACUAGUCGAUGCGCGCGAGCUCCAGCUCCUCAUAGAUGGGCUCAGCCAUCGAUUUGGUAACCAGAGGUCAAAUCCCGAGCCCCUCCACCGUCUCUAGCCUCGCCGAUGAUGAACCGCGGGUCAACUCCAGCGAGUUUGACCCCGGUUGACUAGGUUUGACCUCGAGGGUCACUGGCGUGUGGGCCAGGGCCUGUUUUAAUUAGGUGUUAGAUUAGUUAGCACUAAUUAAUUUAGUUAAUCAGUUAAGCAACUGACAUGUGGGCCCAACCCUGCUGACAUUUUGUCAGGAUUAGUUUAACCCUAAUUAACUUAGUUAGCUAACUGAGACACUGACCAAUGGGCCCCACUGGUCAGGUUUGAGCUGGGCGGCGCCUGUUGACCUGCUGAGGUCAGCAUGACCUAAUGCUGACACAGUAAACAUUUCCUGGAAUUAAAAUAAAUCAGAAAUGAUUUAUAAAUUUUAGAAAAUGCUCUAAACUUCUAAAAUUCAUAUAAAUUCAACUGUAACUCAGAAUGAAAUAAUUUAUAUAUGAAAAAUGAUCAGAAAAUCCAAUCUAUCCAUCUAUACUAGUUUCAUACAUGUUUAAGCAACUUAAUCUUGUUGUUUUUUGCAAAACAUGAUAAGGCACUAUUUAAAUUCAUAAGUUGAGCUUGGGAUAGAACCUUUGGUUCAAAAUGACCCAAACCCAUCUGGUUGUAGUUGCAUUAGCCCAUCACACUCAUAUUGCCGUGUCAUGAUCAUGCAUCAUAUUAUGCAUUGCAUUUAUUGUGUUUCCUUCUUGUUUGCCGGUGGUUGUUCCCUCUCGAUAGACGUGUACCGACGAUGAGUUCAAUGGCACCGGUGAAGAGUUAUAUCAUCUUCAGAAGUGCGAGGCAAGAAAAACCCCUUGUUCAUUCCGAUACAAUCCCACUCUCUCGCUUCUUCUCUCUUUUAUUGCAUUAGGACAACAACGAUUAGACCGUUACAUGCUACGGUAGUUGAACCCCUUUCCUCUGCAUGACAUGUCAUUGCCACAGUAAAUAGAUGAAACACACUAGCAUGAGUAGGAGUUGUUUAUGCCCUGAUGUGCCUACUCAUUCAUGCCUUGUAUGUAAUGCCUGCUACUGCUUAGAUUUGAGUCGGGUCUGAUUCAUCUGGAAUGAAUUGGAAUGGUGAUGAACAUGUCCUACUGUGUGUGAGCUAAGUCUGUGAACACGAUUAUGUAAAGGUAGUGGUGAGAGGCCAUGUAGGAGUACAUGGUGGGUUGUCUUAUUGAAGCCGUCCUUAGGAACUGAGUUCUGUGUUUCUGAUCCAUGAACAGUUAUUACCACACAUUGGGCCUGAAACCGAUGGACCCUCUCGGCUUCUUUACCACCCUUGUCUCCUGUCCAGGAGUUGCAAGUAGUCUCUUGUAUUUGUAGUAUGCUAGAGGCCGUGCGCAGCGCCGACUAGAGGGUGUGCUGUGAUGCGGUAGGCACGUGGCCGGGUAUGCCGGGCGCCCGUUUGGUGUUGCGGAACCCUGUACACAUCGUUCAGCGCCGUAUGUGGAAACCUCGGCCGGACUCCCUGUGGAUGGAACCUGAAUAGGUGAUAAACUUGGACUAGAGACUUGAGUGUUUAGGUAGGCCGUGGCCGACACCCUCGUUGGGCUUCCGCUUGAAGGUUGCCGAGUACAUGUUGUGUAAACGACGAUAAGUGGUGAGAGCGUGUGUGAAGAAGUACACCCCUGCAGGGUUAACAUCAUCUAUUCGAAUAGCCGCGUCCGUGGUAAAGGACCUCUAGGUUGCCUAUACAGUUCAUAGACAAGUGAAAGUGGAUACUCUAAAAUACGCAAGAUAAGUGUGAGUGCUAUGGAUGGCGUUCUCGUAGGGAGACGGAAGCGGAUCCAUAGUGGUGUAUUGAUAUGGUGAAUAUGUGGACUCGCGUGCGCCACCUCAAAAGAGUUACUUGCAGUCAUAGUUCAGGAUAGCCACCAGGUCAAAGCUGGCUUGCUGAAGUUAAACUCCACCACCCCCUUUGUUGAUAAUGAUGCAUAUGUAGUUAGUUCUGAUGUAAGUCUUGCUGGGUACAUUUAUACUCACGUUUGCCUAUUUUAUGUUUUUGCAAAGAGACUUACGUCUCACUAGUAGUUUCACGUGGACUUCGACCUUUAGCUUGUUACCUCAGCUACGAUCUUGUGCCCUUGGCAGGAUCUGGUAGAUAGUCAGGCUUCUCAUGCCUUUUCAUUUGUAGUUGUCUAUACUCAGACAUGUUAAGCUUCCGCUUGUGCUUUGACUUGUAUGCUCUGAAUGUUGGGUCAUGAGACCAAUGUUUGUAAUAUCUCACUCCCCGGAGCAUAUUGAAUAAAUACUUGAGUUGUAGAGUUUUGUUGUGAUGCCAUGUUGUAUUUGCACAUAUCGAGCAUAUUGUGUGUAUGAUUGAAAUGCUUGGUAUGUGUGGGAUUUGACUAUCUAGUUGUUUAUCCUUGGUAGCCUCUCGUACCGGGAAAUGUCUCCUAGUGCUUCCACUGAGCCUUGGUAGCUUGCUACUACUCCAGAACACUUAGGAUGGCCGGCAUGUGUCCUUCUUCGUUCCUGUGUCUGUCCCUUCGGGAAAAUUGUCACGCAGUGUCUACUGGAGUCCUAUUAGCCUGCUACAGCCCGGUUUACCGGAGUCCUGCUAGCCCAGCUGCUACAUCCCGAGUUCACUUGCUGAUGACCGACACGUUCAUUGUUGGUUCAUGUAUGCAUGUCCCUAUAAGUUAGUGCCACUUUGGGUUUGUCGGCGUUCUCGGAACGGGGGUCCCCAGACUUGCCUGCCUCCGGCCUGUGGAAUGGCUCAGCAGUGGCCUAGUACGGCCCGUCUUCAUCAACCCAAGGUCAAGACCCUCGCGAGGGGCCAAGCCUCGCGGGACGGACGACGCAAGGCUUCCUCAGGGGCGGACGCACCAGGCAGGCUCGCGAGGAGGCGGAGAGAUCAAGGCAAGGAGUACCUCGCGAGGUGCUUGUGACGCAAGCCAUUACGAUCAAGACCAGGCAGGCGCAAGGCGGGCGCCAGCCCGCGCAGUGUCCUCGUUUCCUCUUUGGUGCAAAGGGGGCAAGCGCGGGCAUGGAGUACAGAGGCAUCAAGCAAAGGUUUCCAUAUCGGUGCAACGAGACCAAGACCACUAGAGCGGCAGGACGAAGUUCACUGUGGAGCCCAAGACGGCGUCAGCGCCAGUGCCUUUGGCAGUCAAAGACCACCUUUAGUAAGGAUAGCUUGUACUAGUUCUCACCCUUCAAAAUGGCCGUUGUUGGCUCCCUUCCCGCUCAAUAUUUGGGAAGAGGACCAGGGCCUCUAUAAAUAGAGAUAACCACCACAGUAGAAAGAGGGGCAUCUCAUCCAGAGACGCAUCGAAUCCUUCCCUGGUAGAACACCGCACCAGCUCAAGAACACCCCUCGUGAGGUUGUUCUUCCUCUGUACUGUUCA
This 18918-nucleotide long non-coding RNA is filed under the name Triticum aestivum (bread wheat). RNAcentral describes it as "long non-coding RNA (TAES_LNC027230)". The record is from RNAcentral. Lineage: Eukaryota; Viridiplantae; Streptophyta; Magnoliopsida; Poales; Poaceae.